UCCGGUUGAUCCUGCCGGGACCCGACUGCUAUCGGAUUGAGAUUUAGCCAUGCGAGUCGAACGUCCCCCUGUUGCGGGGGGCGUGGCGUACGGCUCAGUAACACGUAGUCAACCUGCCCUGGAGACAAGGACAACCCCGGGAAACUGGGAUUAAUCCUUGAUAGGUCAUCUCAUCUGGAAGGAGAGAUGGCUUAAAGGGGUACGCGGGCUUCUUCCGCGAAUCCGCUCCAGGAUGGGACUGCGUCCGAUCAGGCUGUUGGCGGGGUAAUGGCCCACCAAACCUGUAACCGGUACGGGCCUUGAGAGAGGUGGCCCGGAGAUGGACACUGAGAGAAGGGUCCAGGUCCUACGGGGCGCAGCAGGCGCGAAACCUUCGCAAUGCGCGAAAGCGUGACGAGGUUAAUCCGAGUGGCCCCCGCUGAGGGGGUCUUUUGUCAGCUGUAAAUAGGCAGGCGAAUAAGGGGAGGGCAAGCCUGGUGUCAGCCGCCGCGGUAAUACCAGCACCUCGAGUGGUCAGGACGUUUAUUGGGCCUAAAGCAUCCGUAGCCGGCUUUGCAAGUCUUCGGUUAAAUCCACCUGCUCAACAGAUGGGCCGCUGGAGAUACUACAAAGCUAGGGAGUGGGAGAGGCAGACGGUAUUCAGUGGGUAGGGGUAAAAUCCUCUGAUCCAUUGAGGACCACCAGUGGCGAAGGCGGUCUGCCAGAACACGUUCGACGGUGAGGGAUGAAAGCUGGGGGAGCAAACCGGAUUAGAUACCCGGGUAGUCCCAGCUGUAAACGAUGCAAACUCGGUGAUGCAUUGGCUUAUGGCCAAUGCAGUGCCGCAGGGAAGCCGUUAAGUUUGCCGCCUGGGAAGUACGGACGCAAGUCUGAAACUUAAAGGAAUUGGCGGGGGAGCACCACAAGGGGUGAAGCCUGCGGUUCAAUUGGACUCAACGCCGGG
This 943-nucleotide ribosomal RNA is filed under the name uncultured archaeon. RNAcentral's name for it is "bacterial SSU rRNA". It matches the Rfam family "Archaeal small subunit ribosomal RNA", at positions 1 to 922 of the family's 1478-position model. The record is from RNAcentral.